RNA transcript from Balaenoptera musculus (blue whale), 2328 nucleotides. It is a transcript of the gene named coiled-coil domain containing 68, with no coding region annotated. The transcript is spliced from 13 exons. Lineage: Eukaryota; Metazoa; Chordata; Mammalia; Artiodactyla; Balaenopteridae. The record is from RefSeq and is a predicted model, not a curated record.
GUCCAGAGCAGAGGGGAGGAGCGGCGCCCGGACCCUGCGCUCGCUGAGCGCCCUCCAAGGUAGGCGAGCCCCUGCGAUCUGCGGGCAGGUCAACCCUCCCGCCCCCCAGAGUCAAAUGUCAAUUACAGGAAUCCAUCUUCAUCCUUCUCACCUUUUGGAAAUUGGAGUGGACGUGCUCCCCCUGUUGUGUCUGUUCACCAACAGCAAGAAGGCUCGCUCAAGCAUUGAGCUGUAAACUUCUAAUUAUUUUGCUGGACUUCACAAUGACGGCAGUAACAGUGACCACGACAGUUCCCCUGAAGGGGAAGAUAGAAGAUAAUUCUGCCUCGUAUGAGUCCACAUCAGCUCACAUUAUUGAAGAAACCGAAUAUGUGAAAAAGAUUCGAACUACUCUGGAAAAGAUCCGAAAUCAAAUAUUUAAAGAUGAAGUAAGACAUAAUAGUACAAAUCACAAACAAGGUGCAAAGCACUGUGGACACAUCCAAAAUGGCUUUGACUCUGAACUGGAUCCCUCUUGUUGCAGUUUGGAUCUGCUCAUGGAAAGGAUAAAAGGAAAAGACCUACAGCUCUUAGAAAUGAACAAAGAGAAUGAAGUGUUGAAAAUCAAGCUCGAAGCCUCCAGAGAAGCAGGAGCAGCGGCUCUGAGAAAUGUGGCCCAGAGAUUAUUUGAAAACUAUCAAACACAGUCUAAAGAAGUUAGACAGAAGCAUGAGGACAGUAGACACUUACUCCAGGUUAACACACUUGAAAAAGAACAGAAAUUGAAGCAACAUGUUGAAAAUCUGAAUCAAAUUGCUGAAAAGCUUGAAGAAAAACAUAAUCAAAUCACAGAACUGGAGAAUCUUGUACAGAGAAUGGAAAAGGAAAAGAGAACACUGCUAGAAAAAAAACUGUCUUUGGAAAACAAGCUGCUGCAUCUCAAAUCCAAGGCUACAUAUGCUAAAAGUUGCCAGGAUCUUCAAAAGGAGAUUUUCCUCCUCCAGGAGCAGAUCUCUCAUCUGCAGUUUGUGAUUCACUCCCAGCAUCAGAACCUGCGCAGUGUCAUCCAGGAGAUGGAAGGCUUAAAAAAUAAUUUAAAAGAACAAGAUAAAAGAAUUGAAGAUCUGAAAGAAAAAGUUAACAUACUGGAAGCCCAGAACAAAGAACUAAAGACCAAGGUGGCACUUUGGUCUGAAACUCCUAGGCCGAAGGUAUCCAAGGCUGUUUCUACAAGGACAAGUGUCUUCAACAACUACCUAAUAACGAACGAAUGAAGCAAUGAUAAUGACCCCUAAAGCAAUGGAAAUAAUAGUUGAAACCAUCACAUCACUUUCUAAUGUUGACAGAAUCAGAAGUGAGAGUGAAUUGAAGACUGAAGGCAUGACCCCAUAUUUGAUGUUGGUUAGGCUACGGAAAUGAGCCGCCUGGCUGAAGAUCUGAAUGAGAAAAAUCACUACCUGCGUCUUAUUUACUCCUUGAAACACAGUCUAAAUUUACAUAUUAAAACUGCUCAAUGCCAGUAUUUAAUGGAAUUUAUUGUAUUAUAUUUAAUGUAUACAUCAAUAACUUUGCAGGAAGAUGACAUUUCAGAAAAUCAAACAAAUAUAUAUUCAAAGAAAGGAACUCUUUCUUCAAAACGUACUAAUGGAUGAAGAAACCAGAUGCUUUCCCAUGAUGGAAGAUGAAUUUUGCUUUAAACUUUAAAAAAAAAACUGAAUUUUUUUUUUUUUUUGGCAGAUUUUUGCUGAAGGGACUGGUUAAGGUUGUCAACUUUGACCUUUUGAUACUGGUUUUUAUGUACAAUCAUCCCUAGGUAUCCACAGGAGAUUGGUUCCAAGAGCCCCCUCGGGUACCAAAACCCAUUCGGAUGCUCAGUCCCAUAUAUAAAAUGGCAGAGUGCAGUUGGCCCUCUGUAUCCAUGGUUUCCACAUCCAUGGAUUCAACCAAUCAUCAGUGUGGAACCUGCAGGUACAGAGGGCUGACUGUACAUAAAUGUAAGGAAAAAUAUACAGGCAUGCUUCCUUUUACUGUGCUUCACAGACUCUGUGGGUUUUUUUUACAAAUUGAAGGUUUGUGGCAACCUUGCAUUGUCAGAUGAUGGUUAGCAUUUUUUGGCAAUAAAGUGUUUUUAAAUUAAGGUAUGUAUAUAUAUAUUUUUAGAUAUAAUGCUAUUGCACAUUUAACAGGCUACAAUAUAGUGUAAACAUGACUUUUAGAUUCACUGGGAAACCAGAAAUUCCAUGUGACUCGCUUUGUUGUGAUAUUCUCUUUAAAUUGGUGCUCUGGUACUGAACCUGCGAUAUCUGUGUGUGUGUAUGUGUGUGAAUAAAUGAUAUAUUUUAAAGUUGA